Molecule: non-coding RNA, 111 nt
Filed under: Chitinophaga eiseniae
Lineage: Bacteria; Pseudomonadati; Bacteroidota; Chitinophagia; Chitinophagales; Chitinophagaceae
Description: SAM-I sequence
Rfam family: SAM riboswitch aptamer (S box leader)
About the family: The SAM riboswitch is found upstream of a number of genes which code for proteins involved in methionine or cysteine biosynthesis in Gram-positive bacteria. The SAM riboswitch acts at the level of transcription termination control. The predicted structure consists of a complex stem-loop region followed by a single stem loop terminator region.
Source: RNAcentral
CGCUUAUCAAGAAAGGAGGAGGGAAAUGGCCCGACGAUACCUUAGCAACCUUCAUCAUGGCACUGAUGAAAGGUGCUGCAUCCAUCCCGGCGAAGCCGGGAAAGAUAAGUA